UACAAUCGACGCUUUGAUUUACGGAUUCUCCUACGUGAAAAAGUGAGCGUACUGUGUCAUUUCCGGUGUCUAACGUCUGUCACUCACUGGCUGCUGCUUUUCUUCCUCAAUUUUGUCCGUUUAUUUUUAUUUUUUUGACGGUCGUCUGUUCUCCACUUCUUAUCGAGGCUCGGCUAACGUCAAAUACAUCGGGAAAAGAGUCACAAAUAACGGUUUCCUCUUGCUAGUUAGCUCACAGUUACAGUGGUCUCUUCUUCUAAACUAGUUAGCAUAGCAGUUAGCAUAAGUGCUCCUUCACUUCCCACUCUCCGCUCCCCGACUACCAUUAAUGUUUCACACGCGUUUAUGAAACGCAUCUUAUCUGCCGCAGUGGAUGUGAGUUUUGGUGGAAAAACAAGUAAACACGUCAGCUAGCCACUAGCCAGCCCUAAUAAUAAAUAAGUCGGUUCAGGGAAGCUAGCGUGCCUGCUAACAGGAUUAGUGCUCCCCCUAGAGGACAGGACAAAAUGUUGCCUCAUUUCUUAUUGAUACAAAGUAAGUGUUUACUUUGAAAUAUCGACAGGUGACAAAAGUAGUCACAGUCGGUUCUCAAGUAGAAGUGCAGGUACACUAGUAAAAGAAGUACACAACUGAUUUCACUUCUUAAUUUUUUUUCACUAUUCUUCUUCAGAAGCUGGUGAUUUUUAGGUUGACGCAAGACAACUUAUUCUCAACUUUAUUAAUAGAGCACUCAAAUGAAACAACCACAGCUGAAACUAAAGUGCUGUGCAUGAAUUCAAAUCAAACGCAAAUAUUAAAUAAAAUAUUCCUUUUUGAUUAAAAUAUUAUACAAAUUGUCGGGACCAUAGAAACACUCCAGCAGCGCCUCAUUUGAGUCUUGAGACCAAACUGUCACAGUCCCUCGGUUGGCUGCCUGAUGUUCUACCAGUUGCUGGUCACAAGGUGAUUCGCCACAAAUCUUUCUUGCAGCUGACAAUAUCAAACAACUCUCUUAAAUAAAAAAGGAAAAAAAAAGUAUUUUGUUUCGUUUCCAUCACUGGCUACAAUAAAUGUAGUGCACGAGUUAAGCUGACACAGUUGGUAUGUCACCGAAUUCCCAAAACUCCACCUUGACUGGGACCGGUUAGUCAUUGGCUGCAAGGAAAUCCUGACCGUCUCGCAUGACAACAUGGAUUUGCAGUACAAAUACAUCUAUGAGCUGUUGUUCAGUGUGCAGGUGGUCUUUGCGGUGGACUCUGUGAGACUCCUGAAUCCCCCCGAGGAGCCCGUUCCAGAUCUUCCUUUGGAGGUUUUCUACUCAUGUGAUGCACCCGCCACUGUGCAACUGGACUGGACUGUGACCUUCGACAUUGGCGAGAGUUCCACAUCCUUGCUGAGACGAUGGCAUUGCGUGCCGGGAAAACCCAGAAAAAGGACUCUCAAGGUGACCCUACCCGAUUGGUUGCUUUACAGACCGGACGCCAUCGUUCCGGAGUCCCGGUGGGUGUUGAGCUGCACGCUGGGAGCCUCGGUCAGGUACAGGAAAGUGGACAGUGGCGAUUGGAUGGUCGCAGCGCAACAUGUUGCAAGUUUACAGCCCCGACUCAUGUAUAGUCGGCCCGUCAAACGGCAUCAGGUCUGCUUCGCUUGGAGUUUGAGAAUGCUCUCAUUCGCUCGAGACCACGCAAGGAAACAUUGCCUGGUGGAGCAAGAAACGGUGCCUUUGCUGUCCUCGAUCUUCGCCUCCACCGGGGAAAAAUUCGGCAUCGUCAAGAAUCUUCGGCCCUACGCCAGCGACGUUCUGGAGUACCUUCGAAUUCACGCCCUCGCAUUCCCCUGGUCCAAGUUCUCCGUCUGGAUAUUGGUGACCCGGCACUGCCGGGAUAGCUCGUGCGGGGUGCUUCACCACAUUGACUCCCAGAACAACUACGCAACGCCCACUGUGCUCCUCACUCAAUCAGGUCGGCUGCAUGUCCAAGUGCACGGCGGGCCGGGGGAAUCCACCGCCAUCCUCUUCCCGCACGAGGUGCCCUUGAGCGAGUGGUGUCACCUCACGGUGACGUUUCAAGGCAGACAGGUUACUAUCGCCACAGUGUGCUUGGGCAAGAAGUCGAGAACGGUGAAGUCGACAGAGAACAGGCUGAGCCAUGACAUCAGGCUGGACGACACUGACGGAUACUUUGUGAUCGGAGGGGGUCGAUACGUUAAAGGCGUCGAAGGUUACUUCGGACCCUCGUUUUACGAUCGGAAUAGAGCGUCGCCUCAAAGCUCGUCAGAAGUUGUUCUUCCGGACGUCAUCGCAGAAGUGAACCUAACUGGGUGGAUGCACGCCUGUGGAGAAUUCUCUCUCUAUAUCAACCAAAGCAUCCGUUUCUACUCCCUCCUGGCCCAGCAAAAAAGCAAAGAGUCAAGCAACCGUUUGGAGAUGUUCCACACUGAGAAACAGAAAUAUACGCUGAACACGUGCGAGCUGUGGGAGGGGGCAGUUCCUCAAUAUGUCACCAAAAUUGUACAGUAUUUGGCUUUCAAACGUGGAAGAAGAGCAGCGAGCCCUGACGCGGUGGGCCGAGCGCUGCGUUCUCUGUCCCUUCGCCAACUGGACGGCGUGAGCAGCACGCGAGCCUUUGCUCAAGUUUUACCUCUGCUGCUGAAUGCCGGCUGCUUGAAUAACGCUGCCGCUCUGCACAUGUCAUCGCUCAUCUACAGCUUGGGUCUGGGGGUGGAGAAAGAGCCCAGUAAGGCGUGGCUGCUGGCCCUGUUGGCGGCCCAGAAGGACCAUCGACUGGCUCUGCUGCGACUAGGCCACCUGCACCACCGGGGCCUGCGGGGGGUCCUCGCAGACGAGGACGUGGCCUACGCUUACUACGCCAACUUGGCCAGACAGACCACGCGGGAUCGGCAGAAUCCCUCGCCGGAGCAGGUCUACGUUGAGGACAUCUACCUGCACGACGACGAGAUCCUCAACCUUCAGACCAACAAAGACCAUCACAUCUUCCAGUGGCUGAAGCUUCAGGCGUUCCAAGGUGCCCCCGAUGCCGAGCAAGCCCUGGCCCGCAUGCUGUUCUGGGGUCAGCAGGGAGUGUCGCCCGACAUCGAGGCGGCACUGAGGCACUACGAGAGGGGGGCGGUCCGCCUGGAGGACCCCGUGUCCAUGUACGACUUUGCCAUCGUCCUUCUGCGGGGCCACGGUGUCAAAAAAGACAUUCCCAAAGCCAUCAAGUUAUUGAAGAAAGCAAUGGACGAGGGUUUCGUCCCCGCCAUCAGCGCGCUGGCCUGGUACUACGAGCGCCUGGAGCUUGACUACGAAAAGGCGGCGGAGCUGUGGGAGCGGGCGGACGACCUCGGGAGCCCGGACGCCGCUCUCAACCUCGGGAUCUUGCACUCCCUCGGGCUUUACCCGCAGAGACCUGCCGACCAGUACAUGGCGUACGAGUACUUCCUGAAGGCUGCCGAGCGAGGACACAUCAGGGGAGCGGCGGAAGUCGCCGACGUCUGGUCCACCGGGCUCGCCGGUCGCGUCAGUCGCCGUCCGUCCGAUGCUCUCUUAUGGGCAAAGCGGGCAGCGGAGCAAAACGGAUACCUGGGUCGUCUGCUGCGGCGAGCCCUGAACGCCUUCCUGAAGGGUGACCUGUUUGGCUCGCUGGUGUGUUACAUGAUGGCCGCCGAACUGGGCGUUGCGGUGGCCCAGUUUAACGUGGCAUAUCUGUGUGAUCAAAACCAGGGCGAUUUCCUGGCUCCUGCUUUUGCACUGCACUGCAAGAGAAGAUAUUAUAACCUGAGCGUCCACAAUCCGAAACCUGAGCCUUACGCCCUCCUGAGGAUGGGCGACAUGUGGUACGACGGCCUGGUGGACGGCCGCAAGAGGUUGACUCCUGCCGCGCAGAUGUACAAACUGGCGGCGCUGCGCGGCGAGCCGCAGGGCUGGUACAACCUGGGGUUGCUCGCCGAGGAGGGCUACAGGCUGCCGACGCCGCUACUCAUGGAGCUGGGCCUUUCCCGGCUUUACUCGGCAGACGACGCCGAGCUUCGAACUGCUUUGUACAAAAGGUGUCGAGACUCUGGCAUUUCCGACUCCUACGUGCCUUGCGGCCUGGCUCUACUCAAGGUGCAUCUGCAGGUCUUCCGGAAGGAAUAUAGUACGCCUAUCAAGUACGUCGUCACCGUUGUCGCAGCUGCAGCGGUUGUCCUCGCGGCCCGAGGCCUCGUCGCCCGACACGUCCUCUCUUGACGCGGACGAGAGCCGCGGCAUUCAGAGUCGAUUUUGCACAUUGAUCGUCUUCAAAUGUUGAUGGUUGCCCAAACAAAUGAGCAAGACUAUUCUACCAAACCAACGACUUUGGAAGAACUUGAAGGGCGAACACGAGAAUUUAUGUCUUCCAUCCCACAAGAGUUCCUUGUGAAAUCAGUUCAUGCGGUUCCCAGGCGGCUUGAGAAACGGGUGGCCAAUGCUGGCGCCCGUAUCCAAUUUGAAAUCAAACUCCAUGCAAUACACUUUCUCCUCAUGU
This is an RNA transcript of Phyllopteryx taeniolatus (common seadragon), 4484 nucleotides long. It is a transcript of the gene named protein sel-1 homolog 3, with no coding region annotated. NCBI's taxonomy places the organism in Eukaryota, Metazoa, Chordata, Actinopteri, Syngnathiformes, Syngnathidae. The record is from RefSeq and is a predicted model, not a curated record. The transcript has 25 exons.